Molecule: long non-coding RNA, 395 nt
Organism: Perognathus longimembris pacificus (Pacific pocket mouse)
Lineage: Eukaryota; Metazoa; Chordata; Mammalia; Rodentia; Heteromyidae
Exons: 3
Source: RefSeq, a predicted model, not a curated record
GAAAGAAUGCAAUUUAUCACUAGCCUGGCAUUGUGGCACAGGGGUAUACCAGUAGGAGUGGAGCCGGCAAAAAUAAGCUUCAAUGAAAUCUCUACUUAGAUCUUAACUGCAGUUAUCUCUACAGAAAUACAGACAUGAAGUAACUCCUUCAGCAAAGGAAUCUCCAGGUUUACUGCUGGCUGUAUGUUCUUUACUCCCUCUAUUUCUUGUCCUCCUCUCCCUGUAGAUGAUGAUGGAGGCCUCUGCAGUGCUUCUGUCAAAUACAAUAUCUGACUGGUAGAGUAGCUGAGAUGUGCUCCGCUACAAUUCCUUCAAAAGGUGAGUAUGAAGGAGGCACACAGUAUAUAAAAGGAUGUGGGGAAGAAACAGGCAAGGGGCUGGGAAUAUGGCCUAGU